GCUCAGUAACACGUGGAUAACUUGCCCUUGGGUCCGGGAUAACCCCUGAGAAAUUGGGGACAAUACCGGAUAGGGCAUCGAUAGCUGGAAUGCGCGAUGUCCAGAAGCUGAGGCGCCCAAGGAUAGGUCUGCGGCCGAUUAGGUUGUUGUUGAUGUAAUGGAUCAACAAGCCUGCAAUCGGUACGGGUUGUGAGAGCAAGAGCCCGGAGAUGGGUUCUGAGAAAAGAACCCAGGUCCUACGGGACGCAUCAGGCGCGAAAACUUUACAAUGUGCGAAAGCACGAUAAGGGAACUCUGAGUGCCUCCUAUGGAGGCUGUUCAGGUGUCUAAAAAGCACUUGAAGUAAGGGCUGGGUAAGACCGGUGCCAGCCGCCGCGGUAACACCGGCAGCCCAAGUGGUAGCCACGAUUAUUGGGUCUAAAGCGUCCGUAGCCGGCCAGGUAAGUCCUUUGGGAAAUUUAACCGCUCAACGGUUAAGCUUUCAGGGAAUACUGCUUGGCUUGGGACCGGGAGAGGUCAGAGGUACUUCAAGGGUAGGGGUGAAAUCCGUUAAUCCUUGAGGGACCACCAGUAGCGAAGGCGUCUGACCAGACCGGGUCCGACGGUGAGGGACGAAGGCUAGGGUCGCGAACCGGAUUAGAUACCCGGGUAGUCCUAGC
Molecule: ribosomal RNA, 659 nt
Filed under: uncultured archaeon
Lineage: Archaea
Description: bacterial SSU rRNA
Rfam family: Archaeal small subunit ribosomal RNA
Source: RNAcentral